RNAcentral lists this ribosomal RNA (230 nucleotides) under uncultured bacterium. RNAcentral's name for it is "partial 16S ribosomal RNA". It matches the Rfam family "Bacterial small subunit ribosomal RNA", at positions 562 to 791 of the family's 1533-position model. The record is from RNAcentral.
AAAGCGUGCGCAGGCGGUUUUGUAAGUCUGUCGUGAAAUCCCCGGGCUCAACCUGGGAAUGGCGAUGGAGACUGCAAGGCUAGAAUCUGGCAGAGGGGGGUAGAAUUCCACGUGUAGCAGUGAAAUGCGUAGAGAUGUGGAGGAACACCGAUGGCGAAGGCAGCCCCCUGGGUCAAGAUUGACGCUCAUGCACGAAAGCGUGGGGAGCAAACAGGAUUAGAUACCCCUGU